GUGGUGUCCGUUUAGAAUAAAAAUUUUUAUGUGAGGAGGGAGAUAGGAUUGAGAGUUAUA
This 60-nucleotide transfer RNA is filed under the name Microcosmus sulcatus. RNAcentral describes it as "transfer RNA-His". Lineage: Eukaryota; Metazoa; Chordata; Ascidiacea; Stolidobranchia; Pyuridae. The record is from RNAcentral.